Molecule: long non-coding RNA, 254 nt
Filed under: Mytilus galloprovincialis (Mediterranean mussel)
Lineage: Eukaryota; Metazoa; Mollusca; Bivalvia; Mytilida; Mytilidae
Source: RNAcentral
GGCCUUCUAUCAGAAAAAGAGUUGCAAUGAAUAUAGAAUGAUAUCGGAUGAGACGAGUGCCAACUUCUUUGACAAGUAUUUGCACAUGUUUUUAGUAAUCGUUCUUGUUUUGGGAAAAUAAUGAGACAUCUAUUAUCAUCAACCUACGACUAAAUCAUUUCUUAAAACAACAAUUAUGUUUAGAUUGAGGUACACAUUGAUAUUAUGUGAACAAAACAAAGAUUUUCGUUACCGUGUGAGGUCAAAAUCGAUCA